CUUUAUUUUCCACUUUCAGCUCGGCUGCCUGAACUAAUGCGACGAAGCCCCGUAGUGUUCGGCGGCCGACUGUACGAAAUGGCUUUCUGAUAUGUGUAAUAUCUGAGUGCUUUGGGACAAAGUGGAUAUGAGAAAGAGAAAUAUGAAGAAAACAGGAGUAUUCGUCUUGGAAAUGGACGUCGGCGUUCAAAUCAAAUGGCCUUUUGUGUCGGAGACAACGGUGCGAGCUCGGUCAAAUGGAGCAAUUAGGAAAGAACGGCCGUCCUUCGUUGAGGACACGGCAGAAAGAGACGGGGUCGCGCUUCCAGUGAUUUGAGUUUAUUUAUGUGAUGCGUGUCGGCGAGGAGAAAGCAGAGCGGCGUGGCGGAGCGCUGAUUGAUCGCUCGGAGGCAAUCACCACGAGCAACGAGCCGAAAAUAGGCCGCCGGCGUCCUG
Long non-coding RNA from Gasterosteus aculeatus aculeatus (three-spined stickleback), 435 nucleotides. NCBI's taxonomy places the organism in Eukaryota, Metazoa, Chordata, Actinopteri, Perciformes, Gasterosteidae. The record is from Ensembl.